This 253-nucleotide ribosomal RNA is filed under the name uncultured bacterium. Its description in RNAcentral is "partial 16S ribosomal RNA". It matches the Rfam family "Bacterial small subunit ribosomal RNA", at positions 524 to 776 of the family's 1533-position model. The record is from RNAcentral.
UACAGAGGUCCCAAGCGUUGUUCGGAUUCACUGGGCGUAAAGGGUGCGUAGGCGGCCGGGUAAGUCUGAUGUGAAAUCCCGCAGCUUAACUGCGGAACUGCAUCGGAUACUCUCCGGCUAGAGGAAUGGAGGGGAGACUGGAAUUCCUGGUGUAGCGGUGAAAUGCGCAGAUAUCAGGAGGAACACCGAUGGCGAAGGCAGGUCUCUGGGCAUUAACUGACGCUGAGGAGCGAAAGCAUGGGGAGCGAACAGG